AUUGAACGCUGGCGGCAGGCCUAACACAUGCAAGUCGAGCGAGCGGCGGACGGGUGAGUAAUGUAUGGGGACUGCCCGAUAGAGGGGGCUAACUACUGGAAACGGUGGCUAAUAGCGCAUACUAUCGGAUGACCCAUAUGGGAUUAGCUAGUCGGGGGGGUAAAGGCUCACCUAGGCGACGAUCUCUACCUGAUCUGAGAGGAUGAUCAGCCACACUGGGACUGAGACACGGCCCAGACUCCGACGGAGGCAGCAGUAGGGAAUCUUCCACAAUGGGCGAAAGCCUGAUGGAGCCAUGCCGCGUGAAUGAAGAAGGCCUUAGGGUUGGAAAGCACUGUCAGGAGAGAGGCGUUACCUACACAGAAAGCACCGGCUAACUCCGUGCCAGCAGCCGCGGUAAUAC
This 403-nucleotide ribosomal RNA is filed under the name uncultured bacterium. RNAcentral describes it as "partial 16S ribosomal RNA". It matches the Rfam family "Bacterial small subunit ribosomal RNA", at positions 30 to 526 of the family's 1533-position model. The record is from RNAcentral.